UCAUGCUUAAAGUAUAGGUUAUGACCUGAA
RNAcentral lists this small RNA (30 nucleotides) under Bombyx mori (domestic silkworm). RNAcentral's name for it is "ovarian small RNA-3278". The record is from RNAcentral. Lineage: Eukaryota; Metazoa; Arthropoda; Insecta; Lepidoptera; Bombycidae.